Molecule: long non-coding RNA, 1912 nt
Filed under: Oryctolagus cuniculus (rabbit)
Lineage: Eukaryota; Metazoa; Chordata; Mammalia; Lagomorpha; Leporidae
Description: lncRNA (ENSOCUG00000030694.1)
Source: RNAcentral
AUGGGAGCCAACGGCAAGGAAGAAGUCUUGAUGGAUCCUCAGCCUGCACUCCCUGGGACUCCAUGUCUCAGGAAACACACCUACAGUUUGCCCACUGGCUCUGGCCCAAACUCUGGGAGCCUCCUGACAGUUAUACCUUGGAAUGUGCCCCAAUCCAGGGGCUUCCCACUCUGCCAUCCCAUGCAAAGAAAAUACCACAUCCUUCAUGUUAUGUUGUCCGGUAUUUCCUCUUUUCUUCCCCAUAUUCAAGGUUUUAGCCUCUCAGGCCCACCUUCCAUUCUAUCCACACCAGCUAAUGACGUUCAGACCUGGUCUUGGGAUAUGGCAGCGUGGAGACAGCCCACCCCCAGGAUGCAGAGGAGUGUUUCUUCCAGAGAGGCAUGGCUAGUUCUGAUGACUGGCAGGCUGAGAAUGGAAUGGAGGCACUGCCCAGUUCCUCUGUGCAGCAGAGACCUGUGUGGAAUGUCAGACUCUCACCCAUUCCACAGAGGAGCCUUCAGAGACUGCUGUGUCUCACCAAGCCCCCCUACAACUCCUAAGCAUGUCUGCUCGACUUCUGGCCCUGGUAGCAAUGUAACAGGGACCCUGAUACCUGGGUCCCUCACCCAAAUGCAGAUCUUGAAUCUCUGCCUUUCAUUCAAACUGAGAGAUCCUGGGAUACCUGCUGCCUGCAUGCUGAGUGACUUCCCUCCUGCCACAGACAACCUGGUGACAUGAGACCAUGGCACUGCAAUCACGCUCAGGCACUUCAACAGCCUCCUGUGGACUGCAGGCCCUGUUUCCCUAACAGGACAAAUUAUGCUCACCUUAAGGCCUACCCUGCACGGAGCAUUUCCACACAGCCCUCCUGCUCCCUCCUUCUGGCCUAUGUUCAAAUGUGGCUCACUGCAGGUCUUCCCUGACUACUGUUUACAAAUGCUAGCGUCCUUCACACUCCCUCACUUGACAUUGACCCAGGGUUGCAUACCCAGGGCUCAAAGGGUGUGAGUGAAGACCACCUCCUCCAGCCAUCUUGCCCUUGGGCCUUUACCCUCGUCUCACUCCCUUCUCUCUGGGAGUUCCAGAAUCUGCCUCCAGUCUGGAAGUGUCCACUCAUGAGCAGCCAGCAGUGGCAUCACUGUAAAUGUGACCUGGGCACACACCUAGUCUUCAAUCUCACAGGUGCAGCCAGCCCCAUGCUUGGCACAUCCACAUCUCUUGGUGUGACAGUCUAUGCUCUGGUCACUAAUUCCUGUGGCAUAAACAUACUGAGCUGUGCUGCCUCCAGCUGGAACACCCCUCUGCACACUUCCCAACCCCCAGAGUCUGGAACCAGGCCUUGGCUCUGCUGGAACCGCACAUGUUGCCCUGUGAGCACCCCUCAUGGACAUCUGGGACAUGCGGUAUCCACAUGCUUCUGGGUUCCCAGGGGUAAUGGAGCAAAGGGUUAAGAGGGUGCAGGGACAGGUAAGAUCUGAUGGGAGUUCUCAGCCCUGCCAGGGCUGGGGUGAGGUUGCUGUGCCUUCCUUCCCCUGCCAAGGCUGACCAGGGUGCCCCUCGGCCUCUUCUGGCUGUGAACAGAAAAGGGACCAAGUCAGAGAAGGCUGAAGAAAGCUGUGCUCAGCCAGACGGGAGUCAGCAGGGCUUUCUGUGAGGUGUGAGGCGCCCAGGACAUAUCUGGGCUUGGUGGCCUCUAUCAUAUUGUCUGGUAUGCUUUUUUUUUUUUUAAUCCUUAAAAACCAUUCUUCUCUCUAUCUCUCUCUCUCACUGUCCACUCUGCCUGUCAAAAAAAAAAAAAAAAAAAAAAAAACAACAUUCUUAGCCUACCGGUUAUUAAAAACAGCCUGCUGGCUAAAUUUGGUGAGCCCUGAUUGAGAUAGGUUUCUGGUGUGGAUCAGGAGAUGGUUACAAUAAAGAAUUUUAGCCUGAGCCA